GCAGUAUCCCGGUUUGUCGCUGGUCCUUCGGGACAAGAGGAAAGUCCGGGCAGCACAGGACGCUCCACUCGCUAAUCUACGAGCUAUUGGUGACAGUAGGUGUCGAAAGAAGAAAACAACCGCCUCGGGAAGAGUAUGCCCCUCGGGGAUUGUACCAUUAGAGGUAAGGGUGAGAAGGUGAGGUAAGAGCUCACCAGCGGCAUGGUGACAUGUCGGCUGUUUCAUCUGGAGGCUGCAAGUUCGCGUAUACCGUUGACUGAGGGUAGUCCGCCCGAGUUUCCUUCGAGGAAUGCAAUGGAGGGUAGAACGCUAGAGAUAUGAGGCAACUCAUAUAGUAGAUAAAUGACAGACACUCUCCUUCGGGAGAGCACAGAACCCGGCUCAUAGGGGUACUGCUUUU
RNAcentral lists this RNase P RNA (400 nucleotides) under Prevotellaceae bacterium. RNAcentral describes it as "RNase P RNA component class A". It matches the Rfam family "Bacterial RNase P class A". Rfam says of the family: Ribonuclease P (RNase P) is a ubiquitous endoribonuclease, found in archaea, bacteria and eukarya as well as chloroplasts and mitochondria. Its best characterised activity is the generation of mature 5'-ends of tRNAs by cleaving the 5'-leader elements of precursor-tRNAs. Lineage: Bacteria; Pseudomonadati; Bacteroidota; Bacteroidia; Bacteroidales; Prevotellaceae. The record is from RNAcentral.